This 162-nucleotide ribosomal RNA is filed under the name uncultured bacterium. RNAcentral's name for it is "partial 16S ribosomal RNA". It matches the Rfam family "Bacterial small subunit ribosomal RNA", at positions 1338 to 1500 of the family's 1533-position model. The record is from RNAcentral.
GUAAUCGCGGAUCAGAAUGCCGCGGUGAAUACGUUCCCGGGUCUUGUACACACCGCCCGUCACACCAUGAGAGUUUGUAACACCCAAGCCGGUGGGGUAACCUUUUGGAGCCAGCCGUCUAAGGUGGGACAGAUGAUUGGGGUGAAGUCGUAACAAGGUACC